Molecule: non-coding RNA, 30 nt
Filed under: Rattus norvegicus (Norway rat)
Lineage: Eukaryota; Metazoa; Chordata; Mammalia; Rodentia; Muridae
Source: RNAcentral
AAGUCAUGGUUAUUUUGGUUGAGGGAGAAG